This is a long non-coding RNA of Papaver somniferum (opium poppy), 2563 nucleotides long. RefSeq lists it as uncharacterized. Lineage: Eukaryota; Viridiplantae; Streptophyta; Magnoliopsida; Ranunculales; Papaveraceae. The record is from RefSeq and is a predicted model, not a curated record. The transcript is spliced from 5 exons.
CACAUCGAUUGCUCCUCCCAUUUUCGCUUCUUCUUCUAACCCUAAGCCAAGAACUCCAAAUCAAACCCAAGAUCUCAUAAAUCGAAACCCAUAUCUCCUAAUCGAAUCUCAUGAAUCAAAACUAGUCCAGAAAUCGAAACCCAAUAUUUCAAUAACUAAAACCUAGAAAUUCUAAUUUUGUAAAGUUGAACGAUUCUGUAAGGUGUGCUUGAAUCCAAACUGAAGAUUUUUUCUCUAGUUAUGAACUGAUGGAUCCGGUUUUCUACGAAUUCUACAGAGAUCGAUAUGUAUAUGGUGUUGCUGAUGAUAUCGUUGAGGUGACUACUUCAAUUGGUGAAUGGUUUGUAUGGACAAAGACGCUAGAUUUUGUAGACAUAUCUCAUGUCCAUGUCAGAGUAAGUAUGAAUCUAACUGUGGGUCUAUUUUGCUGGAAUUUAGUUUUUGCUAGAUAUUUGUCUGGGCACGAAUUGAUGCAUUAGUCGCUUGCAACCAAACAUUGUGGUUCAUUUUGUUAGCAAAAUUGAAUUCCAACCAUAUCACUGGAUUAGGCGUUCCCUACAAUUGACGUCAUGUUGCAGGUCGGAUUGAAAGAAAAGAAAUCGAGCUUAAUUCCCAAAGUGAUUCUCCUACAGUACUAAGUUCUUUAUAGGAUAGUAGUACAAUGUACAUUGGAUUUCAAUGCCUAAUCCGGGAAAGAGGGUACGUUUGUCUAGUAUAAGUCAAGGUGGUGCUGGGGGAAAGGACCUAGUCUUAGUUUUCAGGAUUAAUCAAAGUAAAAUCUAUGAUUAGUAUAAUUAGAGUAAGUAGGUUAGUCAAAUGUGAUGAUGCACCAGUAGGACCCCUUAACAGUUGGCAUAGAAUGUCUUUGACGAUACGUUCUGUAAUAAAGAAAGAUGCACCAGUAGGACCCCUUAGUCAAAUGUGAUGAUACACAAGUGGGUUUGAAUUGAGAAUUAAGAUUUUGACUUUAGAAAUCUUGAUAAUGGCAUAUCUCAGCAUCUCCUCUUUAAUAAAGAAAGAUGGAAUAAUAACAUAGUUUUAUUAAUUUCUCUGCAAAUGGCAGCUAUUUUUGAAAAUCUGAAUCAUGUACUUCAUAUCAUAAAACACGGGCCUGUUUUAACUUUUAAGUACUUUGUGUUACUGAAUUUUCAGUUUCUUGUCCUGUGUAAUUCUUUACUAAAUUUCUGGUUUUGGGUUAACUGUAGUUUUAGCACUCACUGUGUGCAUUUUUCAUUCAUGGAGAUACUUUAAUCAUGCGGUUCUGUGGGAUUUAAUAUAGUAGGUAUGAAAAGCUGUAGCGGUGGGAUGACGCUCUCAAGGUGUGAACUGUCAAAACAUCUCAGGCAGCAAGUCAUAUAUCAGUUUGGAUGCAGGGGGUACUAAGGAAGAUUGGGCAUAGUGGAUGAGACACUUCAUUAUUGAGCUUCUCAAAGAAUUAUCAUUACCAUAUUUGCAAUCUUGUGCGAGGCUUGCACAAUUUUAGUCAUUCGUUGGUCGUGAGUUGUUUGCAUCUGUUUUGGUGAGUUGCUGAAUUCAGCUGACGAGGAAAUAUCUGCACUAUGCUGAUCUGGAAGUGUUUUUGAUGGGAAAGGAAGUAAGAUGGAAAAUCAAAUUGAGAUCUCUAGAUACACCAAUUACAUUCACAGAGGUUGUUCCUGAUAAGGAAUGCUUUUAAAAUAUGUUGCUGACCUAGCUUGUUCUCCGAAAGCUUGUAGUUGGUUUGUCUAUUUCAUUAUAUUGUAGGUUAUUCGUUGCUAAUUUAAUAUGUUUAGCUAGCUAGUGAAUUUGAACCAAUAUAUUAAUGGUGUUAUCUGUAGGAACUUCUGCAUGUUUCUUUCUCUUGUAGGAACCUCCUGCCAAGGCAUCCCAAGCAAGGAAAGCCCAUGCACCUGCAAGGAUGCAACCAAGAAGAAAGAAGAGUCCAACAAUGAUAACUGUGGUGGGAGUGAUUGCGAGGAUGAGGUUUGUCUUGUUUGAUUUUUCUUAUUGGUUGCUAGCUUAUUUAUUUAAAUCCGGUGAUGUAACAACCAGCAGCAAGCAAAGUUAAUGCUCCUGCACCAGCAGCAAAGAAGCAAGAAUCCAGUGAUAACAUUUCAGAUGAUUCUUAAUAUGAAGAGGUUUCUUGUGUCCCUAAUGUUAAAGCCUGCCGCUAAAAAGAAUAGUAGCUCUGAGGAAAGUUCCUUAGAUGAAGAACCUGCUGAAGAUGCUGCUGUGAAAAAGGUUUCUAUGGUACAAGUGUUGGAUAAACUAAUUUGUAAUCUAGAUUAGUUUUGUUAAGUGUGAGUUAGGUUAGUAAAUAAUCUAGAGUUAGCUGGAGUUUAGUCUUGUAAUGUGCAAACAGCAAAGACCAAAUGAGUACGUCGGUUGUGAUAAGAAGUACAAGAGAUAUCCAGAAACAACUAGGAUAGUCUAAUGUCAGUCAAAGUGUCAAACUAGUUUAUCCAAAAGAAAAAUCUAGAGAAGGUUAGAGAGUUCCAAGGUCGGUCUAACAUAGCCUGUAAAAAGGCAAUGAUGUACUCGGUUGCAAGGUGAGCAAAAACUUAAUUAAAAGAGAGUUUUGAGA